AGGAAUUUAGGUUAAACAGACCAAGAGCCUUCAAAGCUCCAAGCAAGUCACAAUCGACUUAAUUCCUG
Molecule: transfer RNA, 68 nt
Filed under: Paguma larvata (masked palm civet)
Lineage: Eukaryota; Metazoa; Chordata; Mammalia; Carnivora; Viverridae
Description: tRNA-Trp
Source: RNAcentral